GAUGACUUGUGUCCAGUGAUGAGUCAUGCCCAAAACUCCAUUAUCUGAAAUGACCAGGGGCCUUCUCAGUGUGAUGUCAUCAUGAGAAUGUGGGGAAGCACCAGUAUUUUCCCUGGUCCUGCGGUUCAUCUCGACCACAGAGCACAGCAGAAGUCACUGCACAGCUGCUUUCUCCAAGUUCACAAUGAUGCUGCGGCAUCGCUAGCACCAUCCUGGAUGCAGACUAGAAGAGAACUAGGAAUCAGCCAAAUAUCCUGCACCGGAAACGCUCUCCCAGGCCCCCGCUGCAAGCACACACUGCCUCGGAUUCUCCCCACGGUCAGAACGCCUGUGCUUCUCUACUGUAUCCAGCCCUGCCAAGGUUCUCCACUGGCUUUCUCCCCAUCGCUCUUAACAGAAGCGCUCCUGCUAUCUACAGUCUCAUGCUUCCUGUGGUGACCACACCUACUACCACUUCUUCAAUGAUCCGUCUGUAUCCUUGUCGAAGAACACUCUCGGCACACCUGCUUACCCGGAGACCACAUAUGCGAUGGUGCACUAGGUGGCUCCAGGUGCUGGCCUGUGGCAAACAGACACUAGGUCUCUCCUGUCACUGCUUGAUACAUAGAUGUCACAUGUGCUUGCUACCUUAACUCAGAACACUACUUUCUAGGCACUGCAGUUCCAAGUCAGUCCACCUUCAUCUGUGUGGGCCCUCUGGUGACAGAUGGAGCCCAGGCACUCAGGUCACCAGCCCUGCCAUAACCCUCCUUGUUACUCUUCUAACAUUGUCUGCUCAGUGAAUCACCUCACCCACAAAGCCAUUCUCAUCCCAUUUAAUAAAUCCCUCUACGUAAG
Long non-coding RNA from Mesocricetus auratus (golden hamster), 837 nucleotides. RefSeq lists it as uncharacterized. Lineage: Eukaryota; Metazoa; Chordata; Mammalia; Rodentia; Cricetidae. The record is from RefSeq and is a predicted model, not a curated record. The transcript has 2 exons.